GACCUCGGAUCAGGUAGGACUACCCGCUGAACUUAAGCAUAUCAUAA
RNAcentral lists this ribosomal RNA (47 nucleotides) under Ceratocystiopsis minuta. RNAcentral describes it as "partial 28S large subunit ribosomal RNA". The record is from RNAcentral. Lineage: Eukaryota; Fungi; Ascomycota; Sordariomycetes; Ophiostomatales; Ophiostomataceae.